RNAcentral lists this non-coding RNA (173 nucleotides) under Cupriavidus taiwanensis. Lineage: Bacteria; Pseudomonadati; Pseudomonadota; Betaproteobacteria; Burkholderiales; Burkholderiaceae. The record is from RNAcentral.
CCCGUCGCGAGGCGGGAUCUGAAGGAAGCCGCAGGCAAAACGCUGGCCUGACGAACAGGAAGCGGAUAUUAGGCGGCGUAGCGGGGUGAGGUGGCCAAGAUCGCCGAAGCCCAAUACUUGCACGGAACGCUACGACGUAGAUCCGACAGGCAUAAGCGUGAAGGUCGCGCGUC